CCGCGUGAGUGAUGAAGGUUUUCGGAUCGUAAAGCUCUGUUGUUAGGGAAGAACAAGUGCAAGAGUAACUGCUUGCACCUUGACGGUACCUAACCAGAAAGCCACGGCUAACUACGUGCCAGCAGCCGCGGUAAUACGUAGGUGGCAAGCGUUGUCCGGAAUUAUUGGGCGUAAAGGGCUCGCAGGCGGUUUCUUAAGUCUGAUGUGAAAGCCCCCGGCUCAACCGGGGAGGGUCAUUGGAAACUGGGAAACUUGAGUGCAGAAGAGGAGAGUGGAAUUCCACGUGUAGCGGUGAAAUGCGUAGAGAUGUGGAGGAACACCAGUGGCGAAGGCGACUCUCUGGUCUGUAACUGACGCUGAGGAGCGAAAGCGUGGGGAGCGAACAGGAUUAGAUACCCUGGUAGUCCACGCCGUAAACGAUGAGUGCUAAGUGUUAGGGGGUUUCCGCCCCUUAGUGCUGCAGCUAACGCAUUAAGCACUCCGCCUGGGGAGUACGGUCGCAAGACUGAAACUCAAAGGAAUUGACGGGGGCCCGCACAAGCGGUGGAGCAUGUGGUUUAAUUCGAAGCAACGCGAAGAACCUUACCAGGUCUUGACAUCCUCUGACAACCCU
This 613-nucleotide ribosomal RNA is filed under the name Bacillus altitudinis. Its description in RNAcentral is "bacterial SSU rRNA". It matches the Rfam family "Bacterial small subunit ribosomal RNA", at positions 397 to 1001 of the family's 1533-position model. RNAcentral also lists the same sequence under 1 other name. The record is from RNAcentral. Lineage: Bacteria; Bacillati; Bacillota; Bacilli; Caryophanales; Bacillaceae.